GUAGGUGGCAAGCGUUGUCCGGGAAUUAUUGGGGCGUAAAGCGCGCGCAGGCGGUUCUUUAAGUCUGAUGUGAAAGCCCACGGGCUCAACCGUGGAGGGUCAUUGGAAACUGGAGAACUUGAGUACAGAAGAGGAAAGCGGAAUUCCACGUGUAGCGGUGAAAUGCGUAGAGCUGUGGAGGAACACCAGUGGCGAAGGCGGCUUUCUGGUCUGUAACUGACGCUGAGGCGCGAAAGCGUGGGGAGCAAACAGGAUUAGAUACCCUGGUAGUCCACGCCGUAAACGAUGAGUGCUAAGUGUUAGGGGGUUUCCGCCCCUUAGUGCUGCAGCUAACGCAUUAAGCACUCCGCCUGGGGAGUACGGCCGCAAAGGCUG
RNAcentral lists this ribosomal RNA (375 nucleotides) under uncultured organism. RNAcentral describes it as "partial 16S ribosomal RNA". It matches the Rfam family "Bacterial small subunit ribosomal RNA", at positions 527 to 896 of the family's 1533-position model. The record is from RNAcentral.